RNAcentral lists this long non-coding RNA (819 nucleotides) under Marmota monax (woodchuck). The record is from RNAcentral. Lineage: Eukaryota; Metazoa; Chordata; Mammalia; Rodentia; Sciuridae.
AUCAGUGUCACACGUAAUAUCUCAAAAUGCCACACACAUACAUGUGCAAUUUAAACUUCUCCUGCUGGCUCAUGACUCUCGGCUCAGCAUCCUUCACAGACAUGCAAUGUCUCAGGCGACCUCCUCAACAAGCACUGGCACAGUGUGGCACAGUAAUGUACAGGAGCACAGCCACCUGUCCAGUGACACAUACAUCUUGUACAAUCUCCAGGGGGUACAUACAAUCUUACACAUUCCCUUCCCAUAGGUGACUCACCAUCUAUCCUGUCGCACACACACACCAUCUUUGGAUGCCAUACAGGUUAUGCAGGGUGGCUCAGUAUAGCCCACUUCCUCACAAAUCUCACAGUGUUUCACACACACUGUCGUGUGCCAUUCACAAUCAACGACCCCACAGUCUGCGUCACGCAGGCCAUCACCGUCGCAUGUCAUCUUGCUUGUCCUCACAUAGCACUCUUCCAGCAUCACACACUUGCAUACACUCUCCUAUGUGCAAUCACGACUCUGGACCAAUCUCUCAGCAUCACACACGAGCUCAACGUCAUAGUCACAGUUUCCCACAGCCCCUGGCCAACAAUACAGUCUUAACUCACCAUCUGCCGCACCCAGACCCACUCUGUGCCUGCUCACGCCAGCACUGGGGGCGUCCCUCUCAUCAGUCUGCCCUUAUGACACAUGGCACUCUUAUCCCCUGCCUCCCUCACAUACAGUGUCACACACAAUAUCUCACUCUCAUAUUGGCCUUUCAGUAUCACAUUCAGUCCCCAAAUAGUCUCUCUCUCUCACUCUCUGACCAAGUUACACACGAUCUCCCAUUGC